GUCGAGAAUCACACUCUCCUCGACACCUACGUCACACGGGUAAUACCCUUGAAGAUAUCGCCUUUAUCCGCGAAUUCAAAACCUCAUCGGCACACAACCACACCAGCUCAUCACCAAGGUCGCAUACGGCAAACCACUACGCCGACCUCUACAACACCUCGGGUCCAAGAGCGAUUCUUUCGCUCACCACGUCCUAAUGGACAGGGACCUACAUAUCCUCGCAGUGAGAGUCUCAACUGCCAUUACCACAUAAUCACUAGCAUACUCUCACAUCCUUAUGGUUAAGCACCUAUGCUCAAACUCAUCUUGUCCUCCUUGACUAGUCAUUAUCCUAAGGAUGAAAUACGGUACACUUCGCACCGAUUACAUUCCAAAUUUCCACAAGUCCCAUGAGCAGUGCGAAUCGAUCGCCAACGAUUCACCAUAAUCCAACCUCACUCUCAGUCGAUCACACGAGGGACUUAUUUUACCUCAAUCACUACUUUAGCUCAACUCUUUCCUAGUUGGCUGUAAGGUACCGGACUUCUAAAAUUAUGAAGUUACGGUGUACAUUUGGUUUGAAAACCAUUUGAAUAGUUCUGGUGAGGUUGCGGUGGAAUGUAAUAUGUCGGAUUUUAAAUACAAAAAUGAAAAUAAAUAAAAAUAGUAUGAGAUACUAUUUUUAUUGGAUUUAGAGGAGUAAAACAUAAGUCAGAAGGGACUUGUGCUGAAAUCGGAAUGAAAACAGAAGAUCUAGAAUUUUCUGUUGGAAACGGGACAGAUAAAUUAGCAGAAAAUGCACAGUGUCAGAAAAUUAUGAAAACUGGA
RNAcentral lists this long non-coding RNA (807 nucleotides) under Ananas comosus (pineapple). RNAcentral's name for it is "long non-coding RNA (ACOM_LNC003518)". The record is from RNAcentral. Lineage: Eukaryota; Viridiplantae; Streptophyta; Magnoliopsida; Poales; Bromeliaceae.